UUUUUAAAUAAAGUUACUUUUGAAUUUUAUUAGAUUUUAUCAUUUAGUACGGUUGGUUUCAUUGUAAACAACGUUUUUUAUGAAGUGAUGCAACUUGAAGAUUUUUUGAAAGCAGUUCCAACUAAUUCCAAAUAAAGAAAAUAAAAGUUGGAAGUAAAAAUGAACGAUAUUAAAGUGUUUGUAAAAUAUUGCAAUUUUACGACCCAACUCUUUGGAUUUUCAGAAUACAGCCAAAUACCGAGUAAUUUAGAUCUCUUGGAAAUGUUAUUUAUAGCCACAGCAAAUGUUAAUCAAAGUGACUCUUUUUUAUUUUCUUGUAACACGGAACAAAAGUUUGCUGAUAAAAUUAUUACUGAUGA
Molecule: long non-coding RNA, 359 nt
Organism: Hydra vulgaris (swiftwater hydra)
Lineage: Eukaryota; Metazoa; Cnidaria; Hydrozoa; Anthoathecata; Hydridae
Source: RefSeq, a predicted model, not a curated record